AGAUCGAUCUGUAUAACAUUAGGAAGGAGUUUAGGAAGAAUUUUGGCACCUCUCUUUAUUCCAUGAUUAAGGGGGACACGUCUGGGGACUAUAAGAAAACCCUCCUGCUGCUCUGUGGAGGCGAAGAUGACUGAUGGGAGCCUGGGGAGCCGCCCCACGCCGUGUCCGCCCGGCACCACUGCCUUUCUGCAGCGCAGCUCACCACACUCUACACGCCAGUGCUGAGCACACUGCCUUACUCACGCUAGCAUGCUGUGGCCAAAACAUAAAUGUAAAAGAAUGUAGCGGUGCUCCUUUCUGAUCUUUAGUUAAGAUCUUUCUCUUUAACUGUUGUAGCACUAAAGUGUACUUAUGUUACUAGGACUAAAGUCUGGAUCAUUUAUAUUUUCCUGUAAGAGGCAGACUGCUUUCACCCUUUUUUAAAAGCUUCAUUUAUAUUAAAUUGAUAACCAUAUUACCUUAGUCAGAGCCUUAGCCUUGAAAUUGUGAACUCCUGGAAGUGUUAUUAAUCAAGUUUGCUACCAAGUUAAACCAAAAAAAUUGUAGUGGUUGCAAUCAAAAGAUUAGUGAAUAAUAAACAUUUCCAUCUUCCUGAAAAA
Capra hircus (goat) is the source of this 599-nucleotide long non-coding RNA. RefSeq lists it as uncharacterized. The record is from RefSeq and is a predicted model, not a curated record. NCBI's taxonomy places the organism in Eukaryota, Metazoa, Chordata, Mammalia, Artiodactyla, Bovidae. The transcript is spliced from 2 exons.